UACGUAGGUGGCGAGCGUUAUCCGGAAUUAUUGGGCGUAAAGAGCGCGCAGGUGGUUGAUUAAGUCUGAUGUGAAAGCCCACGGCUCAACCGGGGAGGGUCAUUGGAAACUGGGGAACUUGAGUGCAGAAGAGGAGAGUGGAAUUCCAUGUGUAGCGGUGAAAUGCGUAGAUAUAUGGAGGAACACCAGUGGCGAAGGCGACUCUCUGGUCUGUAACUGACGCUGAGGCUCGAAAGCGUGGGGAGCAAACAGGAUUA
Molecule: ribosomal RNA, 257 nt
Filed under: uncultured prokaryote
Description: partial 16S ribosomal RNA
Rfam family: Bacterial small subunit ribosomal RNA
Source: RNAcentral